This 272-nucleotide unclassified non-coding RNA is filed under the name uncultured fungus. RNAcentral describes it as "partial contains small subunit ribosomal RNA, internal transcribed spacer 1, and 5.8S ribosomal RNA". The stretch from base 1 to 73 matches the Rfam family "Eukaryotic small subunit ribosomal RNA", at positions 1759 to 1831 of the family's 1831-position model. Lineage: Eukaryota; Fungi. The record is from RNAcentral.
UCAAACUUGGUCAUUUAGAGGAAGUAAAAGUCGUAACAAGGUCUCCGUAGGUGAACCUGCGGAGGGAUCAUUACUGAGUGAGGGUCUCCUCGACCCGACCUCCAACCCACUGUAAUCAAAGCUUGUUGCCUCGGGGGUGACCCGGACCUUUCGGGUUUGGUGCCCCCGACGGAUUAUCAUCAAACACUGCAUCUAUGCGUCAGUUUAUUGGGAAAUAAAUUAAAACUUUCAACAACGGAUCUCUUGGUUCUGGCAUCGAUGAAGAACGCAGC